UACGUAGGGAGCAAGCGUUGUCCGGAAUCAUUGGGCGUAAAGCGCGCGUAGGUGGCCUCAUAAGUCCGCUGUGAAAGUCAAAGGCUCAACCUUUGAAAGCCGGUGGAUACUGUGAGGCUAGAGUACGGAAGAGGCGAGUGGAAUUCCUGGUGUAGCGGUGGAAUGCGCAGAUAUCAGGAGGAACACCGGUGGCGAAGGCGGGUCUCUGGGCCGUAACUGACGCUGAGGAGCGAAAGCGUGGGGAGCGAACAGG
Molecule: ribosomal RNA, 253 nt
Filed under: uncultured bacterium
Lineage: Bacteria
Description: partial 16S ribosomal RNA
Rfam family: Bacterial small subunit ribosomal RNA
Source: RNAcentral